CCCUCUGGGGUGCAGCAGGCGGUCCAUGUCCCCGGCCCACCGCUCCAGGUUCGGCCUGCGAAAGUCCUGCUUGCUCUCCAGGAUCGAUCCCAAGAGCAUUUCCCCGAGUCGCCACGCGUCUGCGUGGGUGCGCUUCUUCUCAUUCUUGUCGUUCUUUUCCUUCUUGUUAGUCGUUGGCUGUUCGUUGACUGUCGGUGGGUCGUCCGUGGUCUGUUCGUUGUCCGUCCGUUGCUUGCCGGACUCAUUGAUGUCAUAGACCCUGUCCCCCAGGAUGGUUGCGACCGUCCCUCGGGUCGUUGGCUUGAACGCGGCAAGGCCCCAGCGUCUGAGGCGUUUGACCGCGGGUCGAUACUGCUGCUCACUGAGUCCGUAGCGUCGAUGGUCUCCGAUGAGAGC
This 396-nucleotide ribosomal RNA is filed under the name uncultured prokaryote. RNAcentral describes it as "partial 16S ribosomal RNA". The record is from RNAcentral.